GGACAGAGAAAGCCUGUCUUCAGGACUGACCAAGACGUCGUUCAUCAGGUGUGGACCUCCAAGCACUCAGGUGAUGGCGAGGAAGAAACGCAGAGGGAUCAUAGAGAAGAGACGCAG
This is a long non-coding RNA of Nematolebias whitei (Rio pearlfish), 117 nucleotides long. RefSeq lists it as uncharacterized. The transcript has 3 exons. NCBI's taxonomy places the organism in Eukaryota, Metazoa, Chordata, Actinopteri, Cyprinodontiformes, Rivulidae. The record is from RefSeq and is a predicted model, not a curated record.